CGGCGAACGGGUGAGUCCACAUUGUGAGCAACCUGCCCCUGACUCCGGGAUAAGCGGUGGAAACGCCGUCUAAUACCGGAUACGACCCGCCACCUCAUGGUGGAGGGUGGAAAGUUUUUCGGUCAGGGAUGGGCUCGCGGCCUAUCAGCUUGUUGGUGGGGUAACGGCCUACCAAGGCGAUUACGGGUAGCCGGCCUGAGAGGGCGACCGGCCACACUGGGACUGAGACACGGCCCAGACUCCUGCGGGAGGCAGCAGUGGGGAAUAUUGCGCAAUGGGCGAAAGCCUGACGCAGCGACGCCGCGUGGGGGAUGACGGCCUUCGGGUUGUAAACCUCUUUUACCACCAACGCAGGCCCGGAGUUCUCUUCGGGUUGACGGUAGGUGGGGAAUAAGGACCGGCUAACUACGUGCCAGCAGCCGCGGUAAUACGUAGGGUCCGAGCGUUGUCCGGAAUUAUUGGGCGUAAAGAGCUCGUAGGCGGCGUGUCGCGUCUGCUGUGAAAGACCGGGGCUUAACUCCGGUUCUGCAGUGGAUACGGGCAUGCUAGAGGUAGGUAGGGGAGACUGGAAUUCCUGGUGUAGCGGUGAAAUGCGCAGAUAUCAGGAGGAACACCGGUGGCGAAGGCGGGUCUCUGGGCCUUACCUGACGCUGAGGAGCGAAAGCAUGGGGGAGCGAACAG
Molecule: ribosomal RNA, 681 nt
Filed under: Nocardiopsis dassonvillei subsp. dassonvillei
Lineage: Bacteria; Bacillati; Actinomycetota; Actinomycetes; Streptosporangiales; Nocardiopsidaceae
Description: bacterial SSU rRNA
Rfam family: Bacterial small subunit ribosomal RNA
Source: RNAcentral